RNAcentral lists this ribosomal RNA (499 nucleotides) under uncultured bacterium. RNAcentral's name for it is "partial 16S ribosomal RNA". It matches the Rfam family "Bacterial small subunit ribosomal RNA", at positions 28 to 507 of the family's 1533-position model. The record is from RNAcentral.
GACGAACGCUGGCGGCGUGCUUAACACAUGCAAGUCGAACGGGCCCGCCCUCUUUUUUGGGGGUGGGUUGAGUGGCGAACGGGGGGGUACCCCGUGAGUAACCUGCCCCCUCCUCCUGGUUAACUGCGUGAAAGGGCGGCUAAUACGGGGAGUGCCGGCUGGUCCGCAUGGGCGGGGGCGGGGUUGCGUCAUCUUCGGGUGUUUCGGCGGCGGAUGGGCUCGCGGCCGAGCAGGUUGUUGGUGGGGGCGUGGCCCAGCAAGGCGGUGACGGGUAGCCGGCCUGGGAGGGUGGGCGGCCACACUGGGACUGGGACACGGCCCAGACUCCUGCGGGAGGCAGCAGUGGGGGGUAUUGCACAAUGGGCGGACGCCUGAUGCAGCGACGUCGCGUGAGGGAUGGAGGCCUUCGGGUUGUGAACCUCUUUCUCCGGUGGUGAAGGCCCUGUCCGUUGCGGCGGGGUUGACGGUAGCCGGGUAUGAAGCGCCGGCUAACUACGUG